Molecule: long non-coding RNA, 2750 nt
Organism: Stylophora pistillata
Lineage: Eukaryota; Metazoa; Cnidaria; Anthozoa; Scleractinia; Pocilloporidae
Source: RefSeq, a predicted model, not a curated record
AUAAAUAAACGUGACGCUUCUCAGGUAUGCCAUAGCUUGACCUGCUCGUCAAUCAAAAUAAGAUAAUUCAGUUAUUUAUCUGCGAAAAAAAAAAAAAAGGAAGGGCGAUGCAAAAUUGUGCUUGACAAUGACCUUCAGCCUUUACCCAGGCAUUAGUUGUUUUUUCUUCUUUUGUUGGCCGUAAAUAUGAGAUUUAUCUUUCGUUAAAAGAUGAAAGGGAUAUUCGGAAGACCUAUAAGAAGUCGCUCGUUCAUGGCGAUCGUCAGAGAAAGGAAUGUCCUUUUGAAAAAACAUUUUCGGUAGUACUGUUUUCUGUCUCGACAAUCUGAGCGGAAUUUUAUAUUAUAUGCUAGUAACAGUCGAAGUCGAAACGGAAAUUGAAUGACACAUGUCAAACGGAAAUGACUUCUGGUGGCGAUCACGUCCGAAUCGGCUGUAAUUACGAAUCAGCACGUCCCAUUCGAGUAUAUUGGGUUUUAUUUCAUUGACCAAAUCAUCCAUUCUCAGAGUUACAUCGUAGCGCAUCAUUCAAAACAGUGAUGAUCCUGCAGUGUUUGUUAAUUCUCUAGGGAAAAUAUCCAUGAAAGAAGAAGUGUUGUACGCAAGCAGUACACAGGCUUACCGUUCGUGGCACUGCUAGACAUAGAAACAGAAUAUGAUGGCUCGUGCUAGCUCCACACAAAGGCGAAGGAGCCCACAUGCAGAACAAAACCAGCAUUCUGGAAGAAAGGUCAAGAAAAACUGGCCUUGUUAUCAACACCGCAAGGACCAAAGUCAUGAAGAUUAACUCAUGUUCAAGGAGGAAGAUCAGAGUGAAUGACGCCGAUAUCGAAGAGGUGGAAUCGUUUACAUACCUUGGGAGCGUAGUAGACACAUGUGGGGGACCUGACGCAGACGUUGCAAACAGGAUGAAUAAAGCAAGAGGAGCCUUCCACUCCCUUAAGAAGAUCUGGAGCUCUGGCAGCAUAUCUACAUCAACUAAGCUGAAAAUCUUCAACUCUAAUGUAAAAGCUGUGUUUUUAUACGGGGCAGAGACCUGGAGGAUGAAAGUCAAAACGGCAAGAAAGUUACAAUCAUAUGUCAGUCAUUGUUUGCGUCGAAUCCUGAAGAUACAUUGGACAGACAAGAUCACAAACGAGGAGCUCUGGGAGUGGACAGGUCAAAUACCGAUGGUCAAGCAAGUGAGGAAGAGAAAAUGGGUACGCUUUGGCUUAGCAAUUGAAAGAACUUCAGUUCUGGUGUUGAAAUCCAAUAUCUUCAAUCAUCAUCAAAAAAAAAAAAUUAAAUAUAUUUAUGUGGCAGAAAGAGCAUGGCUCAUUUUAAUUUCUAAUAGAUACUUAACCUAAGUACCACUCAAGUUGUAUCAGACUGGAUGUCGGCCAAUUUGAAAAGUUCAUAAUCGAUAUCGUGCAAAAUAUAAACUACCCUUUUUCUGCUGAUGAAAGUGUGCGUCAUUUUUGGUUUCCUCAUUUUGUAAGAUUGCAAGUAGGAAUUUCCAGUUAGAUUCUAAUCAUAGCAUAGAGUGACUUAGAUCUUCAGCCGCUCUGAGAUAAAGGUCUAUUAUCUAAAGACAAAAAAAAGGACGAUAACUGUGGGUAUGUGCACCGUCACGCGUCUCUUAUCAAAAGUUAUGUAGCACUGGUUGUCGUCCACAAACUUUUGAUCUCGCCUGGCACAAUUUGGCUCUCCGGCGACCUCACUAUUUAUAGGUUGCGAAUUAAUUGAUUUAUUCUGUGAUUUUAUUCUCGAUACUGAUCUUGACGAAAACUGCAAAUUUUAACAGUUAUUCAAAACUGCUAGUUUUAAUUUUCAUCGGAGAGGCUCUCCCCUUCAACACAUUUUGUCAGCACACCAAAUUCAACUCAAAACUGAAAUAUAUCUAUGGUACCUUUCAGUUGCCUUUUUAAAGUUUUAAUGAAUGCAAACAAUCUAAGGGGUAUACUCAGCUCAUGGCUCCAACUGAAACAGUAGCUGAAAUAGUUUGCAAAGGUAGUCAUUUCAACGUGUCGGGACGGAUUUGGUGCACCAAAUGCAUUAUGGCUGGCUCCCUUUGCUAGACUCCAUUUCCCGUUCCAUAUGCAACAACAGUUGUUGUUGUUCUGUUACAUAACACUGUCCUAUCCUUGUAGUAUGUUUACGUAGCUAAAAUGAUGCCUCUUUGAAGGAAACUUCAAAGUAUUAGCUAUUUACUCCUAUGCAUGUUUUGUAUCUGUGCAUGAUCAAUGUAAACCUUUCUAAUCUAAAGAAUUAAACCUACGGUUUAAUUAUUUUUCUUUUUUUUUUUGGAAGAAAAUCGAAAAUGCUAUUAAAAGAAAUAGAUAAAUAAACAAAUGCUCAUAGGUAGCUAAUAGGAAUGAUUUCACUUUCCGCCACCUGUAGGGUGUACAUAAUAUUGGAAUACUUGGGUGUGUUUUUUUUUUUCCGGUCGCAGAUAUCUGCUACGUGCACUUCUUUGACUUCUACCUCCAAAAGCAAAUCCUAAGCUAACAUCGUGAACUUGCUAAAAAAAUACCUAGCGGAGGGGAGAAAGUUGUACUCUAUUACGUAUCUUCCAACUUUUCUGACUCCCUGUUUUGUGUUUGUCCAUGGUCUAAACCAAUUAGACAAACAAAAAAAACCAUACUUGCUUAGUUUUGGUCAGCUAACGAUUUUUCAAUGUUACAAAUGAAAGCUUAAAACAACAGUCACUGGUGAUUUACCCCCCUUUAUACCAAAUUUGUCAACCGAGAUCCGACGACAAUUUGAAGAAA